Molecule: ribosomal RNA, 266 nt
Filed under: uncultured bacterium
Lineage: Bacteria
Description: partial 16S ribosomal RNA
Rfam family: Bacterial small subunit ribosomal RNA
Source: RNAcentral
GUCCUGGCUGUAAACGAUGGAUACUUGCUGUGGGGGGUAUUAAAUCCCUCUGUGGCGGAGCUAACGCGAUAAGUAUACCGCCUGGGGAGUACGGUCGCAAGUCUGAAACUCAAAGGAAUUGACGGGGGCCCGCACAAGCGGUGGAGCAUGUGGUUCAAUUCGACGCAACGCGAAGAACCUUACCUGGGCUUGAACUGGGGGAGGAAGCGAGCAGAGAUGUUAGUGUACUUAACCGGAUCUUCUCAGAGGUGCUGCAUGGCUGUCGU